AUUGAACGCUGGCGGCAUGCCUUACACAUGCAAGUCGCACGGAGGGGGCAACCCCUCAGUGGCGGACGGGUGAGUAACGCGUAGGUAUCUAUCCAUGGGUGGGGGAUAACGUAGGGAAACUUGCGCUAAUACCGCAUACGACCUACGGGUGAAAGUGGGGGACCUUCGGGCCUCACGCGAUGAGAUGAGCCGAUGCCGGAUUAGCUAGUUGGCGGGGUAAAGGCCCACCAAGGCGACGAUCCGUAGCUGGUCUGAGAGGAUGAUCAGCCACACGGGCACUGAGACACGGGCCCGACUCCUACGGGAGGCAGCAGUAGGGAAUAUUGGACAAUGGGCGCAAGCCUGAUCCAGCCAUCCCGCGUGAAGGAUUAAGGCCCUCUGGGUUGUAAACUUCUUUUCUUUGGGAUAAAACUCCGUUUCUACGAGCUUGAAGGUACCAGAGGAAUAAGCACCGGCUAACUCCGUG
RNAcentral lists this ribosomal RNA (466 nucleotides) under uncultured bacterium. RNAcentral's name for it is "bacterial SSU rRNA". It matches the Rfam family "Bacterial small subunit ribosomal RNA", at positions 30 to 507 of the family's 1533-position model. The record is from RNAcentral.